This 253-nucleotide ribosomal RNA is filed under the name uncultured bacterium. Its description in RNAcentral is "partial 16S ribosomal RNA". It matches the Rfam family "Bacterial small subunit ribosomal RNA", at positions 524 to 776 of the family's 1533-position model. The record is from RNAcentral.
GACGGAGGAGGCAAGCGUUAUCCGGAAUUAUUGGGCGUAAAGGGGACGUGGGCGGCUGGUCAAGUCUGGGGGCAAAGGCCACAGCUCAACUGUGGGAAGGCCCUGGAAACUGACCGGCUAGAGUGAGGUAGGGGUUGCGGGAAUUCCCGGUGUAGCGGUGAAAUGCGUAGAGAUCGGGAAGAACACCUGAGGCGGAAGCGCGCAACUGGGCCUCAACUGACGCUGAGGUACGAAAGCUAGGGGAGCGAAUGGG